Canis lupus familiaris (dog) is the source of this 859-nucleotide long non-coding RNA. RefSeq lists it as uncharacterized. The record is from RefSeq and is a predicted model, not a curated record. The transcript has 2 exons. Lineage: Eukaryota; Metazoa; Chordata; Mammalia; Carnivora; Canidae.
GUGGCUCACGGUGCCCACACUGUGCGCUACUAACAACAUGGUUUACCCCGCACACUGCUUUCCCCUGGGGGAAAAGACCAGCGUGGGAUUUGGGUACGUGCAAGGCAAACAGCCUACGGGACAAGCUCCCAGGAAAGGCCUGGUGCUGGGCGUCCAGCAGCUUCCCUGGCAGAUGCCCUGUCAUACCUGUUGGCACCACUCCCUGCUGAGACGUCAGAGCGUGCUGUGUGACUUCACUGGGACAAGAGUUCUGGAAGCCUGACUUCCUCCAGACUUCACCCCAUGCGCCUUUCACUUUUUGUGAUUUUGCUUCGUAUCCUUUCACUAUAAGAAACCUUAGGCCUAAGUGUGACUACGUGCCAAAUCCUAAAACAGUGCCAGGCGGUUGAAGGCCAGGAGUUGCACCAGCCCAAAUCAUCAUCAUCGGAGAGGGAGGACAUGCAGAAAAUGCCAGAUUCUGACUCACUAUUUGCCUAUGGAGAAAAACAGCAGAAACUUUUUUAUUUUGUAACAUAUUUUGUUCAUAUCUGUCUUUAUCUCAAGGCCUCAGGCUCUCUCUCCCCACAAGUAGAUAACUUUAAGCACUAUAAACUUAGGUAAAAAUACUCCUUUGAAAACUAAAGUUUCUAGAAGUUUUAGUUCAGUGCAUGUUCCCACUGGUAACAAACUUUCCCAACAGUUGGUAGAGCUGUAAGUAAAGUAAAAUCGAAUCCAGACCACUGGCAGAACAAUGAGACGACUUCCCAGCUGUAAGUGCUUCAAAAGUACUUCUGAGAAAAGGAAAGUUAACAUAUUUCAACUGUUGUGCAAACUCCGUAACAAUUUACUCUCAUGAAUAAACUCACCCUUUCGUGUCCGA